Molecule: long non-coding RNA, 1054 nt
Organism: Nothoprocta perdicaria
Lineage: Eukaryota; Metazoa; Chordata; Aves; Tinamiformes; Tinamidae
Exons: 2
Source: RefSeq, a predicted model, not a curated record
CUAAGAUGGGCAGUGAGRCUGAGCUCAGGUCCUGACAGAGCCUGUUUGCAGUACUGUGCUGGAGGUGACCUGGGGACAGGACAGGUACUGAUGCUUGGAGAGGGAGGUCCAAACGCCAGCAAGGCAAAAUGCCRUCUCUAUCUAUGCAUCUGCAAGGGGAGAGCAGCCUGGGACCCCUGAGCUGGGCCGUGCCAGCAAUGACACAAGCUGGACCCAGCUCCCACCGCUGCAGGACUCAUUACGAGCCAUUAUCUGGCUGGUUAACGGGCUGGAGCUUCUCACAGGUGACUUCUCAACUGUUCAUUUAGCCACAAAUCACCGUGGGGCUGGCAGUUUAUUUACCUUCCCCACCAGCCUCCUGUGGCUUCCCAGACUGCCGAGAUAGCGGGUAGCCCUGCUGCAAGGGUAGAAGGGCAGCAUCCCACCGAGGGGCUGUAAGCUAAGCCUUAAAAGCUUGAGCUUUUAAGCUCAACAGACCAGAAAUCUGGGUGCGUGGCACCUCUCUGGGACUGAUCCCUGUAGAAACCCAUGUUAAAAGCAACUUACCUUGACUAUGGUCAAGAGGUGCCCUGCCCCACCAGAAGGUCCUGAUAUUAAACCUUUUGUCUACACGCAGCCAAGCAGCACCUUAGCUGGAAAUCAAGGCACAGCCCCAGUGCGUGUUGUGUCUCAUCUGAUGUCUGAGAUAAGGGCUYGAUCCUGGGAAAGUGAAAAUCUGAUGCCGGUUGGCAACUUUUAAUCGGAGCGUGGAUUUUCCUCGGCACCCUUGGCUUUGAUCUUGGGGCAGUUGGAUUUGCCGAGAGAUGUUUUGUUGCUGCCCAAGGUGACACUGAGGAAAUGGCAGGGCUAUAAAACUGAACUGUGCCCCCAAAUACUUAUCUGUGACCCCCCUGGCCACACCUCACAUGUCUGGUGAAGGAUGAGAACUGUUGGAUACAAAAUCAUGGAUAUCCACAGGAUUGUGUGCACCGAGACUGGGCGUAUUUGGCAGUUUGUGGUGUUCGUGUGGGUGCUUGUUUUUCUAUUUUUUUUUUCCUUCUGUUUGGCUGCACAU